Molecule: ribosomal RNA, 250 nt
Filed under: uncultured bacterium
Lineage: Bacteria
Description: partial 16S ribosomal RNA
Rfam family: Bacterial small subunit ribosomal RNA
Source: RNAcentral
UACGUAGGGAGCGAGCGUUGUCCGGAAUUACUGGGCGUAAAGGGUGCGUAGGCGGCGCUGCAAGUCAGAUGUGAAAUCCCCGGGCUUAACCCGGGUUCUGCAUUUGAAACUGCAGUGCUUGAGUGCAGGAGAGGAAAGCGGAAUUCCUAGUGUAGCGGUGAAAUGCGUAGAUAUUAGGAAGAACACCAGUGGCGAAGGCGGCUUUCUGGACUGUUACUGACGCUGAGGCACGAAAGCGUGGGGAGCAAAC